This is a long non-coding RNA of Callorhinus ursinus (northern fur seal), 813 nucleotides long. RefSeq lists it as uncharacterized. Lineage: Eukaryota; Metazoa; Chordata; Mammalia; Carnivora; Otariidae. The record is from RefSeq and is a predicted model, not a curated record.
UUCAAAAAGGCAGCUGUCAAAUAGCUUGUAGUUGGCUUUACAGAAGAUGAAAUGCAAGGUGACCUGUCUUACUGUAAAUGUCUCUUGAUUCAAACUGUCUUGAAAAGUAGAAGCGUCUCUGAUGACUGAGUGCCACCUGUUACUGGAAAGGGGCCAAAUGACCUCUGACCGGACUGCUGCUGGGGAGGUUGGGACACAUCUGUGAUUUCCAUCAGCAUCCACCUUUUUUGACCCAUCAAGAGGCGGGGGCAAAACUUGGUUAAGGAGGGGAAGUAGCUUUCAAAAAACAGAUGAAAGAAGCACCGGAAUCAAACAACUUAGUGGAAUGACCGAUUCUCUUUUGCACGAUUCUCAGAACUGACCUGUCCUUGGCCUUCCAAAAUGUUGCUUCCAGAAUAUUAACCCAUCAGGGUCCUGGAGAGAAGCCACAGCAAAUGAUGGGGAAACUGAGCAUAAAGAGAAUGAGUAAAAUGGAAAAGUGGCAAAACUUGGAAGUGGCAGAGUUGGGAUUUGAGCUGAGAAAGUCCCAAGCUUUAGCUCUCAGUCACAUUUCUACAAGAGCUGGCCCACAAGCCCAGAAGUGUGGCAUUGCCUUCCUGCCACCCAGCAACCCAGAGCCUCUCUGCUUAUUCUGCUUUCCUGUCCUUUCCAAGAUUAACAUUUGACCUGCCUUCUUUCCAUGACCCCCAUGACCAACCCUCUGGAUGGUGUGUCCUGAAUAAUAGAAUCAGGUAAAAGGUCUUUGCCCAUGUUCCUGAGGAGAAUGGCUACCACUCUGUGGACUUCUGGAAAUACACCAUCUAUGCAGCCACA